CUGAAUGAAAACGGGUAGUCCUUGUUCUGCUUGGGGGGCUUUAAGGAAGCAAAUGGACUUUCAGAACAGAGACUGUCAAUAAAGUUCAGGAUAACAGUGUUGGAGGACUUUUAGUCUCUGGGGAACUCCAAGGAACGUCAUUCUAUGUACAUGAUAGACUCUUUGGAAGAAGAUGCUGGACCUGUGCUCACCAGGGAAGUGAUGACUCUGCUCAUUUGAUUUUCUUUCAUUGACUUAAAAACUGGCCUGUUUCUAAUGUUGACUAUUCAACCAGAAGCAGAAAUGACAAACAUUUGAAGGUGGGAAUCACUCGUGAGACAUUUUCACAAGGCCAUGGAAUUCAUCCUACAGCCCCCUUGCCUCAUUAAUGGGAUGCCCACACAUCCUUUAUCCUCAUGUCAUCCACCUCACAUCAUUCAGGAUCCUAUUAUAGGUGCUCAAUCUUGGGAAAUGUCUCUCUUAAUGUCCCUGAGAAGAGAGAGUACAGUAGGCUAGAAACAGCAGUCUGUGUGUGAAGAUUCCACAAUGGCUCUUCAGCUGUAUGCCACUAUGCGGGUCUGGUAUUGCUGCUUGAAAUCACAGCAAUGCCCAUCUGGAGCUCUGGAUAUGUCCUUUGAAGAGGUGCCCACAACACUGACCACAUCGGAGGCUACCACAGAUCCUGGGGGAAGGCUUGCAGCAGCUGAGGGUAGACUCCCUGAUCACUGAGCUCCUCCAUGCAGUGUUGUUAAUGUCUCCUCCAGAGCUCGAUGAAGGCCUGGGCUGCCUUGAAGCACUGAGUGAUGCCAUGCCAAUUGAAGGCAAGGUCUUUAUUGCUGAAACUCUUGCAUAAUGAUAUCUUUAUUCAUGUGAAA
This is a long non-coding RNA of Nannospalax galili (Upper Galilee mountains blind mole rat), 854 nucleotides long. RefSeq lists it as uncharacterized. Lineage: Eukaryota; Metazoa; Chordata; Mammalia; Rodentia; Spalacidae. The transcript has 4 exons. The record is from RefSeq and is a predicted model, not a curated record.